CACCAAGCAGGGUCCCUGGAUGAAUAU
RNAcentral lists this non-coding RNA (27 nucleotides) under Homo sapiens (human). The record is from RNAcentral. Lineage: Eukaryota; Metazoa; Chordata; Mammalia; Primates; Hominidae.